GGUGGUAUAGCUCAGUGGUAGAGUGUGUGCUUAGCAUGCAUGAGGUCUUCAGUUCAAUCCCCAGUAACUCCA
Molecule: transfer RNA, 72 nt
Filed under: Camelus bactrianus (Bactrian camel)
Lineage: Eukaryota; Metazoa; Chordata; Mammalia; Artiodactyla; Camelidae
Also listed under: 2 other names
Rfam family: tRNA
About the family: Transfer RNA (tRNA) molecules are approximately 80 nucleotides in length.
Source: Rfam by way of RNAcentral